GUGUUUUGACGCGGGAAUUGCAUGGAUCGUGGUUGGAGGCUCGCGAUGAAGAAAGCUGGUAAAAUGAGUAAAUUUGAUGAAGUGAUCGUGUGAAUGGGAAGAAAAUUAGAGAUUGAGCUUGGAGUUAAUUAUUCUAAAUUUAAUUAAGCUCAAAACUUUUGUUUUAAUUUAUUUUUCUUGGGCCUUAUGUUGGUAAUCGCCGAUCAGCCCAUUCCAUGUGUGGCUAGGGUCGGCCAAUUAAGGGUUUAAAUCCCUUGAUUUUGUUUUAUUACUUGCAGCCGCUAGACUAGGAAGGAAAAAGUUAGGUUUUAUUUUUAAUUCUCUAGUGCUAAACGUUUGAUUAGUUUUAAUUAAAUUACUUGUUUUCUUGCUUUUGGAUUUUUGAGAUUGGCGGCUGGAACAAGAUUG
Molecule: long non-coding RNA, 408 nt
Filed under: Salvia miltiorrhiza (redroot sage)
Lineage: Eukaryota; Viridiplantae; Streptophyta; Magnoliopsida; Lamiales; Lamiaceae
Description: long non-coding RNA (SMIL_LNC009323)
Source: RNAcentral